GUGAGGGGGUGACUAGUGACAGAGUGAGGGAAGGGGUGACUAGUGGCAGAGUGAGGGAAGGGGUGACUAGUGGCACAGUGAGGGAAGGAAGGGGUGACUAGUGACAGAGUGAGGGAGGUGGUGACUGUCACUAGUCACCACCUCCCUCACUGUCACUACUCCCUCCUUCUGUCACUAGUCACGCCCUCCCUCACUCUGUCACAUGUCAUCCCCUCCCUCACUCUGUCACCAGUCAUCCCCUUCCCUCACUCUGUCCCCCCCUCACUCUGUCACUAGUCACCCCCUCAC
Non-coding RNA from Pelobates cultripes (western spadefoot toad), 288 nucleotides. Lineage: Eukaryota; Metazoa; Chordata; Amphibia; Anura; Pelobatidae. The record is from the annotation of a GenBank genome assembly.